CCGCCGGUAGUGUGAGAAGUUCAUUAAACCUUAUCAUUUAGAGGAAGGAGAAGUCGUAACAAGGUUUCCGUAGGUGAACCUGCGGAAGGAUCAUUGCACACACAAACUGCAAAGCCAACCCCAAACUUGGGUUCCGGCGCGCGCUCCUCGGGGUGGCGCCGGGACUCAUGAGAAUGCGAGUUUUACCUUUACCAUUCUGAAGCUCUUCGGGUGCUGCUGCUUCUGAGCGGGCACUCCGCGCGGGCUACUCGGGCGUCCUCCUCCUCUUCAAGGCUGCAUUCCAGCUCCUCAAGCCUGUCGCCCCCGGCCGGAAGUUUGCCUCGCUUGGUGGCUCGGUCUAGGCCGAAUCCACUUAGCGGGUCACGCGACUGGAUCCGGGAUUAGUACCGGCAGGCUGGGGAGUGCUACCGCGGGAGGCUAGGGAGGGUACCAGCGCCCGAGUACUCGUUGUGGUGGUGGCGCGAGGGCCAGCAGCAGUACUCCGUUGGGUGGAAGCCCGAUGAAAAAUAUUCUAAGUCCCCAAGACUGAGGACCCUUAUUUUGACCCGAGAGUUCGAGUCCUUCGGGGCUCGAGCACGAGUUGAAUCUAAAACUUAACUUAGAACAACUCUCAGCAACGGAUAUCUUGGCUCUUGCAACGAUGAAGAACGCAGCGAAAUGCGAUACGUAGUGUGAAUUGCAGAAUUCCGCGAAUCAUCGAGUUUUUGAACGCAAGUUGCGCCCGAGGCUUGUCCGAGGGCAUUUCCGCUAGAGCGUCACCGCGCCCCCCCACCACACUCUCUUAGAGUGUGAGUGGAACUGGCCGUCCCGGCACAUCGGGUCGGCUGAACUGGAGGGAAUUUGGCCGCCGUGGCAUCACUUGCCCCGCGAUCAGGUGCGAUACUCGAAAGAGUUUCAUUCCAAGUGCGGGGCUCCCAGUGAGCCCGAGUGCGUGCCCCGAGUUCCACAGCAGGCUUACCUUGAGCAGCACCUCGAGUGCUGCAAAAGCGUGAAGAGGUAACGCAUCAGACCUCUAAUCGGAAAAGACUACCCGCCGAGUUUAAGCAUAUACAAG
This 1054-nucleotide ribosomal RNA is filed under the name Bryum argenteum. RNAcentral describes it as "eukaryotic LSU rRNA". The stretch from base 606 to 758 matches the Rfam family "5.8S ribosomal RNA". The record is from RNAcentral. Lineage: Eukaryota; Viridiplantae; Streptophyta; Bryopsida; Bryales; Bryaceae.